UGAGGAAUAUUGGUCAAUGGUCGCAAGACUGAACCAGCCAUGCCGCGUGCAGGAAGACGGUCCUAUGGAUUGUAAACUGCUUUUAUACAGGAAGAAACCCUCCCACGUGUGGGAGCUUGACGGUACUGUAGGAAUAAGGAUCGGCUAACUCCGUGCCAGCAGCCGCGGUAAUACGGAGGAUCCAAGCGUUAUCCGGAAUCAUUGGGUUUAAAGGGUCCGUAGGCGGUCUUAUAAGUCAGUGGUGAAAGCCCAUCGCUCAACGAUGGAACUGCCAUUGAUACUGUAAGACUUGAAUGCUUAGGAAGUAACUAGAAUAUGUAGUGUAGCGGUGAAAUGCUUAGAUAUUACAUGGAAUACCAAUUGCGAAGGCAGGUUACUACUAAGUGAUUGACGCUGAUGGACGAAAGCGUGGGGAGCGAACAGGAUUAGAUACCCUGGUAGUCCACGCCGUAAACGAUGGAUACUAGCUGUUCGGCGCAAGUUGAGUGGCUAAAGCGAAAGUGAUAAGUAUCCCACCUGGGGAGUACGCACGCAAGUGUGAAACUCAAAUGAAUUGACGGGGUCAUAGCUGUUUCCUG
RNAcentral lists this ribosomal RNA (578 nucleotides) under uncultured bacterium. Its description in RNAcentral is "partial 16S ribosomal RNA". It matches the Rfam family "Bacterial small subunit ribosomal RNA", at positions 355 to 1376 of the family's 1533-position model. The record is from RNAcentral.